UUGUCUUAUUGGUUGAUAAAUAAAGCACUGCUGGCCAAUAGGCAAGCAAGAUAGGUGGGACUAGGGUUCAAAGAGAAUUCUGGGAAAUGUAGUAAAGAGAAGUUGGUUGGUCCAGUGUGAAAAAGCAGAUUACUCUGUUCUGAACUUCACUGCCAAGGAGCAAAGUUGACGUCAUUAAAAAGCUGAUAUCAGAGAGACACAGGUUUUUAUAGUCAGUUAUUAUAAGUUUUCCUUUGUCCAUUUUGGUUUUGUGUUUGCUUUGUUUUGAGAAAUGUGCCAAGAAAUUCUAAACUCAGGCUUCUUUUAUUCCUAACAUUUUCCUUUCAUUUUUACAUCAAGGACAAUGUUGGAAACAAAGCAAGAAUUCUAUAAGAAGAAUGUACAGGUAUCCUCAGAUGACUGCUCAGCUUUACGUCAGAAUAUUUUCAGUCCCCUAAAAGAAGUAAAGCAGGGCAUUUAUUCUAAACCAGGAGGACACCGUCUUUUUAUCCAGAAGAAACUGGAGUUGAAAAAAAAAAGUACUAUGAGGAACCCAGGAAGGGAGCUCAGGCUGAAGACGCUCUGCUCAAGUUUUUGCAGUCCAAGGAGAAUGUGACUGAUACAAUUCUACAGGGAUCCACAAAGGAACAAGCUGGACUACUAGAGGAGGGAUUCCAGCAGGAAAUAAAAAAAAACUUGAGGAUGAAAAGAAGUAUCUCCGGAAAGGAAACUGAACCACAGAUGGCAUUGUAAGCUAAGGGUCUAAGAAUAACGCCAUUCUGCCACUCAAACAGAGCUGAUCAGGGUCACAUCAAUUGAUAAUGAUUGGGUCCUCCAUCAGAAAACUAAAAAUCUGGAAAGAUGUGCAGUGUGAUCAUUGAAAUCCUGUUUAUCUUCUUAUAAGAUUGUGCUCCAAGAAUAUCAUUGACAUCUCUACCACAAGAGAGGCGUCAACAGGGCUACUCAGAAGAAAGUCCCUUUUCCAGAUAAUCACCAGGAGACAAAUAGACACUGAUCACAGUCUGUUUUAAAAAAUAAUUUAUUUAUUUUUAUUGUUUUAUGUGUGUCAGUGUUUUGCCUGCAUGUAUGUCCAUGUGGGGGUGACAGACCUUGGAGUUAUAGACAGUCAUGAGCUGCCAUAUGGGUGCUGGGAUUUGAACCCAGGUUCUCUGGAAGAGCAGUGCUCUUUAACCUCUGAGAUAUUUCUUCAGCCCCAUACUGAGCACAUUCUUAAAUGGUGGCACACAAUUAGGAACCAAGUUGUCCAGGGAUGUGAUGGCUCUGAAAGACAGGGAAAGCCAGCCUCAUUUGUUUUGGAGACAAUAUAAAGUUCUGGAUUAUAUCAAAAGUGCUCAACCUUUCAGCAAUGGCAUGAUUUGUGGACACUGGCAAUGAGCAACCCUAUCAAUACACUCCAUCAUAAAUCAAGACAGCUGCAUGGAGAUCUAGAGUACCCAUAUACAAUAUCCACAGGAAGAUGGAAGAAGCCAUUAGCAUGGCAAGGAACUGCUCCACUGUUGAAGAAGGAAAUAUUCCAGUUCAUGUGGAUGGAAACUGUAACAGGACAUUUCCAAACUCUAAGGGUUGACACGGACUACAUAGUAAUACGAUGACAACUAAGCACAAUGUAUAGCUUAUGUACUUAUGUAUAAACUAUACAUAAGUAUGUGUUAUGUAUACUUCAUAUAUAAAAAUACAUAACUUUAAAAGGGCUUUAAAUGGUGCUGGGUAACCUAUAGAUAUCAAAGGAAUUUUAAUUAUUUAUCUUUAAUUAUAAACUUACACUACUCUUUGUCCUAUUAUUAGCAACUAUACUUGAAAUCCUGUUGAUUUUCCCCAAGCAUAAUAAAGAUUCUUCUCUGUAUUUUGA
Molecule: non-coding RNA, 1849 nt
Organism: Cricetulus griseus (Chinese hamster)
Lineage: Eukaryota; Metazoa; Chordata; Mammalia; Rodentia; Cricetidae
Source: RefSeq, a predicted model, not a curated record